AAAGGGGAGCGGGGGGCGGAUUGCGGCCUAGUUAUGGCGCGGGCUAGGCCCAUAGGGGAGCUAUAGAGGGAGAGACCACCAGAACCGAUAAUGAGACCCCAGCCCAUAAUGAGAGACCCCAGACCUUAAUGAGAGACCCCAGCCCAUAAUGAGAGACCCCAGACCUUAAUGAGAGACCCCAGACCUUAAUGAGACCCCCCAGACCUUAAUGAGAGACCCCCAGACCUUAAUGAGACCCCAGACCUUAAUGGAGCAGACCCUCAGACCUUAAUGGAGACCCCAGAACGCAUAAUGAGAAGACCCCCAAGACCUUAAUGAAGAGACCCCAGACCCUUAAUGAGGACCCAGACCUUAAUGAGAGACCGCCAGACCUUAAUGAGCAGACCCCAGGACCAUAAUGAGAGACCCCAGACCGUAAUGAGAGACCCCAGACCUUAAUGAGACCCCAGACCUUAAUGAGAGACCCCAGACCUUAAUGAGAGACCCCAGACCAUAAUAUGAGACCCCAGCCCAUAAUGAGACCCCAGCCCAUAAUGAGAGACCCCAACCUUAAUGAAGCACCCCAGCCCACAAUGAGAGAACGCCAGACCUUAAUGAGAGAACC
Molecule: long non-coding RNA, 604 nt
Filed under: Coturnix japonica (Japanese quail)
Lineage: Eukaryota; Metazoa; Chordata; Aves; Galliformes; Phasianidae
Description: lncRNA (ENSCJPG00005002622.1)
Source: RNAcentral